UUUAAAGGGUGCACAGGCGGAUUGGUAAGUCAGGGGUGAAAUCCCACAGCUCAACUGUGGAACUGCCCUUGAUACUGUCAGUCUAGAGUAUAGUUGAAGUUGGCGGAAUGUGUCAUGUAGCGGUGAAAUGCUUAGAUAUGACACAGGACACCGAUCGCGAAGGCAGCUAGCUAAGCUAUAACUGACGCUCAUGCACGAAAGCGUGGGGAUCAACAGGAUUAGAUACCCAGGUAGUCCACGCUGUAAACGAUGAUUACUCGAUGUUGGCGAUACACAGUCAGCGUCUAAGGGAAACCAAUAAGUAAUCCACCUGGGGAGUACGAUCGCAAGAUUGAAACUCAAAGGAAUUGACGGGGGCCCGCACAAGCGGAGGAGCAUGUGGUUUAAUUCGAUGAUACGCGAGGAACCUUACCUGGGCUAGAACGUAGAAUGACUAUAGGAGAAAUCUUAUAUCCCUUCGGGGCAGUCUACGAGGUGCUGCAUGGUUGUCGUCAGCUCGUGCCGUGAGGUGUCGGGUUAAGUCCCAUAACGAGCGCAACCCCUACCUUUAGUUGCCAUCAGGUCAAGCUGGGGACUCUAAAGGAACUGCCUACGCAAGUAGUGAGGAAGGCGGGGAUGACGUCAAAUCAGCACGGCCCUUACGUCCAGGGCUACACACGUGCUACAAUGGCCGAUACAGAGGGCAGCUACCUGGUGACAGGAUGCAAAUCUCCAAAGUCGGUCUCAGUUCGGAUCGGAGUCUGCAACCCGACUCCGUGAAGUUGGAUUCGCUAGUAAUCGCGCAU
Molecule: ribosomal RNA, 785 nt
Filed under: uncultured Bacteroidota bacterium
Lineage: Bacteria; Pseudomonadati; Bacteroidota
Description: bacterial SSU rRNA
Rfam family: Bacterial small subunit ribosomal RNA
Source: RNAcentral